UUCCUAGAGGCUAGGUCUCAAGUGUUUAAACACGGGCACUAGGCUCUCAAUGCCUUUUUCACGUGUUCCUAGAGGCUAGGUCUCGAGUGUUUAAACACGGGCACUAGGCUCUCAAUACCUUUUUCACGUGUUCCUAGAGGCUAGGUCUCCAGUGUUUAAACACGGGCACUAGGCUCUCAAUGCCUUUUUCACGUGUUCCUAGAGGCUAGGUCUCGAGUGUUUAAACACGGGCACUAGGCUCUCAAUGCCUUUAUCACGUGUUCCUAGAGGCUAGGUCUCAAGUGUUUAAACACGGGCACUAGGCUCUCAAUGCCUUUUUCACGUGUUCCUAGAGGCUAGGUCUCGAGUGUUUAAACACGGGCACUAGGCUCUCAAUGCCUUUAUCACGUGUUCCUAGAGGCUAGGUCUCAAGUGUUUAAACACG
Long non-coding RNA from Mytilus californianus (California mussel), 424 nucleotides. RefSeq lists it as uncharacterized. The record is from RefSeq and is a predicted model, not a curated record. NCBI's taxonomy places the organism in Eukaryota, Metazoa, Mollusca, Bivalvia, Mytilida, Mytilidae. The transcript is spliced from 3 exons.